GUCUUUGGCCAUGCCACCCUGAAACAAGCCCCAUGUCUGAUCGCGAAAGCUAAGCAGGGUGGGGCCUGGUUAGUACUUUGAUGGGAGACCACCUAGGAAGACCUGGUGCUGUAGGCA
This 117-nucleotide ribosomal RNA is filed under the name Pteropus alecto (black flying fox). The record is from RNAcentral. Lineage: Eukaryota; Metazoa; Chordata; Mammalia; Chiroptera; Pteropodidae.